Molecule: ribosomal RNA, 1617 nt
Filed under: Klebsiella pneumoniae
Lineage: Bacteria; Pseudomonadati; Pseudomonadota; Gammaproteobacteria; Enterobacterales; Enterobacteriaceae
Description: partial 23S ribosomal RNA
Rfam family: Bacterial large subunit ribosomal RNA
Source: RNAcentral
CCGGCGAUGUCCGAAUGGGGAAACCCAGUGCAAUUCGUUGCACUAUCGUUAACUGAAUACAUAGGUUAACGAGGCGAACCGGGGGAACUGAAACAUCUAAGUACCCCGAGGAAAAGAAAUCAACCGAGAUUCCCCCAGUAGCGGCGAGCGAACGGGGAGCAGCCCAGAGUCUGAAUCAGCUUGUGUGUUAGUGGAACGGUCUGGAAAGUCCGACGGUACAGGGUGAUAGUCCCGUACACCAAAAUGCACAGGUUGUGAACUCGAAGAGUAGGGCGGGACACGUGGUAUCCUGUCUGAAUAUGGGGGGACCAUCCUCCAAGGCUAAAUACUCCUGACUGACCGAUAGUGAACCAGUACCGUGAGGGAAAGGCGAAAAGAACCCCGGCGAGGGGAGUGAAAAAGAACCUGAAACCGUGUACGUACAAGCAGUGGGAGCACCUUCGGGUGUGACUGCGUACCUUUUGUAUAAUGGGUCAGCGACUUAUAUUCUGUAGCAAGGUUAACCGUAUAGGGGAGCCGCAGGGAAACCGAGUCUUAACUGGGCGUUAAGUUGCAGGGUAUAGACCCGAAACCCGGUGAUCUAGCCAUGGGCAGGUUGAAGGUUGGGUAACACUAACUGGAGGACCGAACCGACUAAUGUUGAAAAAUUAGCGGAUGACUUGUGGCUGGGGGUGAAAGGCCAAUCAAACCGGGAGAUAGCUGGUUCUCCCCGAAAGCUAUUUAGGUAGCGCCUCGUGAAUUCAUCUUCGGGGGUAGAGCACUGUUUCGGCUAGGGGGUCAUCCCGACUUACCAACCCGAUGCAAACUACGAAUACCGAAGAAUGUUAUCACGGGAGACACACGGCGGGUGCUAACGUCCGUCGUGAAGAGGGAAACAACCCAGACCGCCAGCUAAGGUCCCAAAGUCAUGGUUAAGUGGGAAACGAUGUGGGAAGGCACAGACAGCCAGGAUGUUGGCUUAGAAGCAGCCAUCAUUUAAAGAAAGCGUAAUAGCUCACUGGUCGAGUCGGCCUGCGCGGAAGAUGUAACGGGGCUAAACCAUGCACCGAAGCUGCGGCAGCGACACUAUGUGUUGUUGGGUAGGGGAGCGUUCUGUAAGCCUGCGAAGGUGUGCUGUGAGGCAUGCUGGAGGUAUCAGAAGUGCGAAUGCUGACAUAAGUAACGAUAAAGCGGGUGAAAAGCCCGCUCGCCGGAAGACCAAGGGUUCCUGUCCAACGUUAAUCGGGGCAGGGUGAGUCGACCCCUAAGGCGAGGCCGAAAGGCGUAGUCGAUGGGAAACAGGUUAAUAUUCCUGUACUUGGUGUUACUGCGAAGGGGGGACGGAGAAGGCUAUGUUAGCCGGGCGACGGUUGUCCCGGUUUAAGCAUGUAGGCUGGUUAUCCAGGCAAAUCCGGAUAAUCAAGGCUGAGGUGUGAUGACGAGGCACUACGGUGCUGAAGUAACAAAUGCCCUGCUUCCAGGAAAAGCCUCUAAGCAUCAGGUAACAUCAAAUCGUACCCCAAACCGACACAGGUGGUCAGGUAGAGAAUACCAAGGCGCUUGAGAGAACUCGGGUGAAGGAACUAGGCAAAAUGGUGCCGUAACUUCGGGAGAAGGCACGCUGGUGUGUAGGUGAAG